RNAcentral lists this ribosomal RNA (301 nucleotides) under uncultured bacterium. RNAcentral describes it as "partial 16S ribosomal RNA". It matches the Rfam family "Bacterial small subunit ribosomal RNA", at positions 509 to 807 of the family's 1533-position model. The record is from RNAcentral.
CAGUCGCCGCGGGAAUACGGAGGGUGCAAGCGUUAAUCGGAAUUACUGGGCGUAAAGCGCACGCAGGCGGUCUGACAAGUCAGAUGUGAAAUCCUUGGGCUUAACUUAGGAAUUGCAUUCGAUACUGGGAAGCUAGAGUAUGGGAGAGGAUGGUAGAAUUCCAGGUGUAGCGGUGAAAUGCGUAGAGAUCUGGAGGAAUACCGAUGGCGAAGGCAGCCAUCUGGCCUAAUACUGACGCUGAGGUACGAAAGCAUGGGGAGCAAACAGGAUUAGAUACCCCAGUAGUCCCUGUCUCUUAUAC